AAUCAACGCUGGCGGCGUGCCUAACACAUGCAAGUCGUACGCGAAAGGGGCUUCGGCCCUGAGUAGAGUGGCAAACGGGUGAGUAACACGUGGGUGACCUGCCUUCGAGUGGGGGAUAAC
This 120-nucleotide ribosomal RNA is filed under the name uncultured bacterium. RNAcentral describes it as "partial 16S ribosomal RNA". It matches the Rfam family "Bacterial small subunit ribosomal RNA", at positions 32 to 147 of the family's 1533-position model. The record is from RNAcentral.